ACUCUGCCCUGACCUGGUGGCACUUAGGGCUUUGAGUUGCUGCCCUGCACCCCUGGUCCCUGAGUGGCCUAUCCUGCACUCCUGGUCUCUGAGCUUUGGGCAUGCUCCUGCUAACAUAAGUGGUUGCCAUGACAUCCCUCAGUUGUUCGUCUGUGAUAAGGUUGAGAGAAACAGCUGGAGGUAGGGCUUUCCUUCUAGGUCCAUUAUAUUGUAUGUUUCUGUGAGAAGAAAAGAUGUUUGAGGCAUUCUAGUAGAAUGAACAGAAGAGAAGAAAAAGAGUAAAGGUAAAUUACAGCAGAGAUUCUUUGGAAAUUAUUAAAAUUAACAUUAUUUAAUUUAAAUAAUUUCAAAAUGUUGAAUUAAUAAUUUUAAUUAUAAUUUAUAGUUAUAAUUAUAUGUAGUUACAUUUACGUAACUAAUAUAUAAUACUUAUAAUUUUAAUUAAUUUUAAAUAAUUAUUUAAAAUAGAAUUAACACUAAUAAAAGCUAUAUUAUUAACAAAA
Long non-coding RNA from Homo sapiens (human), 503 nucleotides. RefSeq lists it as uncharacterized. The transcript is spliced from 2 exons. Lineage: Eukaryota; Metazoa; Chordata; Mammalia; Primates; Hominidae. The record is from RefSeq and is a predicted model, not a curated record.